This 497-nucleotide ribosomal RNA is filed under the name uncultured bacterium. RNAcentral describes it as "partial 16S ribosomal RNA". It matches the Rfam family "Bacterial small subunit ribosomal RNA", at positions 28 to 507 of the family's 1533-position model. The record is from RNAcentral.
GAUGAACGCUGGCGGCGUGCCUAAUACAUGCAAGUCGAGCGAACAGACGAUGCUCUUGCUCCUCUCACGUUAGCGGCGGACGGGUGAGUAACACGUGUAUCACCUACCUAUAAGACUGGUAUCACUUCGAGAAACCGGCUCUUAUACCAUAUAAUAUAUUGAACCGCAUUGUUCAAUAGUGAAAGACGGCUUUGCUGUCACUUCUAGAUGGAUCGGCGCCGCAUGAGAUAGUUGUUAAGUUCACGGCUUACCAAGGCAACGAUGCGUAGCCGAACUGUGAGGCUGGUAGGCCACACGGGAACGGAACCACGGACAAGAGUCCUAAGGGAGGGAGCAGUAGGGAACCGUACGCAAUGGGCGAAAGCAUUACGCAGUAACGGGGAGUGAGAGAUGAAGGCGUCCGGAUCGGAAAAACCUGUUACUAGGGAAAAACAAAUGUGGAAGUAAAUAUGCAGGUAUUGACGGUAAUUAAUAAGAAAGCAACGGCUAACUACGUG